RNAcentral lists this ribosomal RNA (305 nucleotides) under uncultured bacterium. Its description in RNAcentral is "bacterial SSU rRNA". It matches the Rfam family "Bacterial small subunit ribosomal RNA", at positions 335 to 637 of the family's 1533-position model. The record is from RNAcentral.
CACCUACGGGGGGCAGCAGUGAGGAAUAUUGGUCAAUGGGCGGGAGCCUGAACCAGCCAAGUCGCGUGAGGGAAGACGGUCCUAUGGAUUGUAAACCUCUUUAGGCGGGGAGCAAUGCCGGGCACGCGUGUCCGGAGGGAGAGUACCCGCAGAAUAAGCAUCGGCUAACUCCGUGCCAGCAGCCGCGGUAAUACGGAGGAUGCGAGCGUUAUCCGGAUUUAUUGGGUGUAAAGGGCGUGUAGGCGGGAGCGCAAGUCAGAUGUGAAAACUCAGGGGUCAACCCUGAGCCUGCAUUUGAAACUGUG